RNAcentral lists this ribosomal RNA (429 nucleotides) under Bacillota bacterium. Its description in RNAcentral is "Firmicutes bacterium partial 16S ribosomal RNA". It matches the Rfam family "Bacterial small subunit ribosomal RNA", at positions 355 to 776 of the family's 1533-position model. The record is from RNAcentral. Lineage: Bacteria; Bacillati; Bacillota.
UAGGGAAUCUUCGGCAAUGGACGGAAGUCUGACCGAGCAACGCCGCGUGAGUGAAGAAGGUUUUCGGAUCGUAAAGAUCUGUUGUUAGAGAAGAACGUUGGUAGGAGUGGAAAAUCUACCAAGUGACGGUAACUAACCAGAAAGGGACGGCUAACUACGUGCCAGCAGCCGCGGUAAUACGUAGGUCCCGAGCGUUGUCCGGAUUUAUUGGGCGUAAAGCGAGCGCAGGCGGUUCUUUAAGUCUGAAGUUAAAGGCAGUGGCUUAACCAUUGUACGCUUUGGAAACUGGAGGACUUGAGUGCAGAAGGGGAGAGUGGAAUUCCAUGUGUAGCGGUGAAAUGCGUAGAUAUAUGGAGGAACACCGGUGGCGAAAGCGGCUCUCUGGUCUGUAACUGACGCUGGGGAUAGAAAGCGUGGGGAGCAAACAGG